GACGAACGCUGGCGGCGUGCUUAACACAUGCAAGUCGAACGGAAAGGCCCUGCUUGCAGGGUACUCGAGUGGCGAACGGGUGAGUAACACGUGGGUGAUCUGCCCUGCACUUCGGGAUAAGCCUGGGAAACUGGGUCUAAUACCGGAUAGGAGCCAUUUUUAGUGUGAUGGUUGGAAAGUUUUUUCGGUGUAGGAUGAGCUCGCGGCCUAUCAGCUUGUUGGUGGGGUAAUGGCCUACCAAGGCGGCGACGGGUAGCCGGCCUGAGAGGGUGGACGGCCACAUUGGGACUGAGAUACGGCCCAGACUCCUACGGGAGGCAGCAGGGGGGAAUAUUGCACAAUGGGCGCAAGCCUGAUGCAGCGACGCCGCGGGGGGGAUGACGGCCUUCGGGUUGGAAACUCCUUUCGCUAGGGACGAAGCUUUUUGUGACGGUACCUAGAUAAGAAGCACCGGCUAACUACGUG
This 465-nucleotide ribosomal RNA is filed under the name uncultured bacterium. RNAcentral describes it as "partial 16S ribosomal RNA". It matches the Rfam family "Bacterial small subunit ribosomal RNA", at positions 28 to 507 of the family's 1533-position model. The record is from RNAcentral.